GAUGAAGAACGUAGCGAAAUGCGAUACGUAAUGUGAAUUGCAGAAUUCAGUGAAUCAUCGAAUCUUUGAACGCAUAUUGCGCUCUCUGGUGUUCCGGAGAGCAUGCUUGUUUGAGUAUCAGUAAACACCUCAACUUCCAUAUCUUUUUUGAAAUGGGAGUUGGACUUGAGUGAUCCCAACGCUUUUCCUCACCGAAAAGUGGCGGGUUACUUGAAAUGCAGGUGCAGCUGGACUUUUCUCUGAGCUAUAAGCAUAUCUAUUUAGUCUGCCUAAAAAACAGAUUAUUACCUUUGCUGCAGCUAACAUAAAGGAGAUUAGUUCUUGUGCUGACUGAUGCAGGAUUCACAAAGACAGGCUUCGGCCGACUUUGUAAACUCGAUCUCAAAUCAAGUAAGACUACCCGCUGAACUUAAGCAUAUCAAUAAGCGGAGGA
RNAcentral lists this unclassified non-coding RNA (433 nucleotides) under soil metagenome. RNAcentral's name for it is "partial contains 5.8S ribosomal RNA, internal transcribed spacer 2, and large subunit ribosomal RNA". The stretch from base 1 to 120 matches the Rfam family "5.8S ribosomal RNA", at positions 35 to 154 of the family's 154-position model. The record is from RNAcentral.